CGCUGAACUUAAGCAUAUUAAUAAGCGGAGGAAAAGAAACUAACAAGGAUUCCCCUAGUAACGGCGAGUGAAGCGGGAAGAGCUCAAGCUUAAAAUCUCCGUGCAAGUUUUGUGCGGCGAAUUGUAGUCUAUAGAGGCGUGGUCAGCGUGGGCGCUUGGGGCAAGUUCCUUGGAAGAGGACAGCAUGGAGGGUGAUACUCCCGUUCAUCCCUGAGUUGCUCGUGCGUACGGCCCGUUUUCUUUGAGUCGCGUUGUUUGGGAAUGCAGCGCAAAGUAGGUGGUAAAUUCCAUCUAAAGCUAAAUAUUGGUGCGAGACCGAUAGCGAACAAGUACCGUGAGGGAAAGAUGAAAAGAACUUUGAAAAGAGAGUUAAAGAGUACCUGAAACUGCUGAAAGGGAACCGAAUCGUUUCCAGUGUCUAUAAUCCGUGGUAUAUUUCAUUGGCGAGUGUGUGCGUGCGUGUGCUGUGGCAGCGGCUUUUUAGGCUGCGCUCGGCGUGUGUGCUGUGUGUGCUUGCUGGUGCCCUGUACUGCGGUGGGACGUCAAGGUCAGUUCGUAUGCUGCGGGAAAUGGCUGCCGAGGAGGUAGGGCUUACGCUUGCGUUUGUCUGUUAUAUCUUGGUGGACGAGUAGUCGCGGUUGGGACUGAGGUGCCUACAACGUGCUUUUGAGUGGGUUUGUGUCUCCGUGUGCGCCGUGUGCGGAUAGCUUGCUAUGCGUGUGUGGUUGUGUGUGGAUUGAUGCGGGCUUUAACUUGUUGCCGUUCGGGACGUUGACGAAAUGGAGCGAUUCGACCCGUCUUGAACACGGACCAAGGAGUCUAACAUGUGUGCAAGUGUUAGGGUGUGGAACCCCAGCGCGAAAUGAAAGUAAAGGGCAACGUAAGUUGUCUGAGGUAGGAAAUGCUGUGGGCUUCGGUCUGCGGUGUGGCACUAUCGACCGAUCAUGAACCUUCGUGGUGAAAGAUUUGAGUUUGAGCACAUAUGUUGGUACCCGAAAGAUGGUGAACUAUGCCUGAGUAGGGUGAAGCCAGGGGAAACUCUGGUGGAAGCUCGUAGCGAUUCUGACGUGCAAAUCGAUCGUCAAACUUGGGUAUAGGGGCGAAAGACUAAUCGAACCAUCUAGUAGCUGGUUCCCUCCGAAAUUUCCCUCAGGAUAGCAGCAACUUAUUUACGAUAGUUUUAUGAGGUAAAGCGAAUGAUUAGAGGAUUCGGGGAAGAAACUUCCUCGACCUAUUCUCAAACUUUAAAUCUGUAAGACCUGCAGGUUUCUUAAUUGAACUUGUGGAUGUGAAUAUCAAGUUGCUAGUGGGCCAUACGGGGUAAGCUCGUCUGGCG
This 1336-nucleotide ribosomal RNA is filed under the name Phytophthora pseudotsugae. RNAcentral's name for it is "eukaryotic LSU rRNA". It matches the Rfam family "Eukaryotic large subunit ribosomal RNA", at positions 26 to 1155 of the family's 3401-position model. Lineage: Eukaryota; Oomycota; Peronosporomycetes; Peronosporales; Peronosporaceae. The record is from RNAcentral.